UUAAGUUCAGCGGGUAUCCCUACCUGAUCCGAGGUCAACCUGAAAAAAUUUGGGGGUUGCUGGCGGGCACGCGGCCGGGCCUCCAGAGCGAGAAGAAUUACUACGCUCGGAGCCGGACGGCACCGCCACUGACUUUAGGGCCCGCCGGGGCGGCGGGGCCCAACACCAAGCAGAGCUUGAGGGUUGUAAUGACGCUCGGA
RNAcentral lists this unclassified non-coding RNA (200 nucleotides) under Pseudogymnoascus sp. RNAcentral's name for it is "partial internal transcribed spacer 2". Lineage: Eukaryota; Fungi; Ascomycota; Leotiomycetes; Thelebolales; Thelebolaceae. The record is from RNAcentral.